CCUACGGGAGGCAGCAGUGAGGAAUAUUGGUCAAUGGACGCAAGUCUGAACCAGCCAUGCCGCGUGCAGGAAGACGGCCCUAUGAGUUGUAAACUGCUUUUGUACGAGGGUAAACGCAGAUACGCGUACCUUUUUGAAUGUACGUUACGAAUAAGGAUCGGCUAACUCCGUGCCAGCAGCCGCGGUAAUACGGAGGAUUCAAGCGUUAUCCGGAUUUAUUGGGUUUAAAGGGAGCGUAGGUGGUCUGGUAAGUCAGAUGUGAAAUCCCGGGGCUCAACUUAGGAAUUGAAUUUGAUACUGGCAGGCUAGAGAGUAGUUGAGGUAGGCGGAAUUCAUGGUGUAGCGGUGAAAUGCUUAGAGAUCAUGAAGAACCCCGAUGGCGAAGGCAGCCUACUAAGCUAUGACUGACGCUGAUGCACGAAAGCGUGGGGAUCAAACAGGAUUAGAUACCCGAGUAGUC
RNAcentral lists this ribosomal RNA (460 nucleotides) under uncultured bacterium. RNAcentral's name for it is "partial 16S ribosomal RNA". It matches the Rfam family "Bacterial small subunit ribosomal RNA", at positions 338 to 795 of the family's 1533-position model. The record is from RNAcentral.